Labeo rohita (rohu) is the source of this 379-nucleotide long non-coding RNA. RefSeq lists it as uncharacterized. The transcript is spliced from 3 exons. The record is from RefSeq and is a predicted model, not a curated record. Lineage: Eukaryota; Metazoa; Chordata; Actinopteri; Cypriniformes; Cyprinidae.
CUAAGAUCACGUGACCGCCAAAAGCCGCUUCCCUUCAGCCGUUGCCAAAAUUAAAUACGCUUUUAGUUGUCACAUUUAUGUGCUGUGCGUUUUGUUAAUAACACAGAAACAGAUCACAUACGAUGUAAAUUUAAGGUUUGUGGGUAGUGUAGUACUUCCCGGGAAUUUGGCCAAACCACGAUUUAUGGCUUGCACAAAAACCAUAUACCAUCAGUUAAAGACCUCAGAAGUUGUAGGCUUGUUGUUCCACCGUCCACCGUUCCGCCACUAAGAGACUGCCCUGCCCAGAGGGCCUGCUCAGUGUCGCCAGAUAGAGCAAUCACCAGAGACAGAGAGAGUAAUGAGGGGGACGAAGAGAGAGGGUACAUACCCACUUCAC